GACGAACGCUGGCGGCGUGCUUAACACAUGCAAGUCGAACGGAAAGGCCCUGCUUUUGUGGGGUGCUCGAGUGGCGAACGGGUGAGUAACACGUGAGUAACCUGCCCUUGACUUUGGGAUAACUUCAGGAAACUGGGGCUAAUACCGGAUAGGAGCUCCUGCUGCAUGGUGGGGGUUGGAAAGUUUCGGCGGUUGGGGAUGGACUCGCGGCUUAUCAGCUUGUUGGUGGGGUAGUGGCUUACCAAGGCUUUGACGGGUAGCCGGCCUGAGAGGGUGACCGGCCACAUUGGGAAUGAAAUACGGCCCAGACUCCUACGGGAGGCAGCAGUGGGGAAUAUUGCACAAUGGGCGGAAGCCUGAUGCAGCAACGCCGCGUGCGGGAUGACGGCCUUCGGGUUGUAAACCGCUUUCGCCUGUGACGAAGCGUGAGUGACGGUAAUGGGUAAAGAAGCACCGGCUAACUACGUG
This 468-nucleotide ribosomal RNA is filed under the name uncultured bacterium. RNAcentral's name for it is "partial 16S ribosomal RNA". It matches the Rfam family "Bacterial small subunit ribosomal RNA", at positions 28 to 507 of the family's 1533-position model. The record is from RNAcentral.